RNAcentral lists this ribosomal RNA (484 nucleotides) under uncultured bacterium. Its description in RNAcentral is "partial 16S ribosomal RNA". It matches the Rfam family "Bacterial small subunit ribosomal RNA", at positions 29 to 507 of the family's 1533-position model. The record is from RNAcentral.
AUUGAACGCUGGCGGCAUGCUUUACACAUGCAAGUCGAACGGCAGCGCGGGCUUCGGCCUGGCGGCGAGUGGCGAACGGGUGAGUAAUGCAUCGGAACGUGCCCAGUAGUGGGGGAUAGCCCGACGAAAGCCGGAUUAAUACCGCAUACGACCUGAGGGUGAAAGCGGGGGACCGAAAGGCCUCGCGCUAUUGGAGCGGCCGAUGUCGGAUUAGCUAGUUGGUGGGGUAAAGGCUUACCAAGGCGACGAUCCGUAGCUGGUCUGAGAGGACGACCAGCCACACUGGGACUGAGACACGGCCCAGACUCCUACGGGAGGCAGCAGUGGGGAAUUUUGGACAAUGGGGGCAACCCUGAUCCAGCCAUGCCGCGUGCGGGAAGAAGGCCUUCGGGUUGUAAACCGCUUUUGUUCGGGAAGAAAUCCUCUGGGCUAAUACCCCGGGGGGAUGACGGUACCGGAAGAAUAAGCACCGGCUAACUACGUG